CUGAUUCAAUCUUCACUUGAGAAGGUAAAGUUCUCUCAUGCUUAUAUCUCAAUUAUUUCUUAAUUACAUUGCCUUUCAUUAAUUAUGAACAAUAACGGAGGGGAGAACUGGGGUUGCAUUGGCAGUUUCAAACCUGAGAAUCUUUCUGUAACCACUUCAAUUUGUUAUCAACUAUAAACUUAACAUGGGAUAGAGACUUCACAUUUCAGUCACAAGAAAUGUUCAUCUUUCCUCCCUCUUUCUGUGUUUUUUCCUUGCUUUUUAUUUUUAAUUUUUGAUUAAUGAUAUAAUUAUUGACUACUGAUUAAUUUCCUUUUGCAGAAAAG
Molecule: unclassified non-coding RNA, 326 nt
Filed under: Hevea brasiliensis (rubber tree)
Lineage: Eukaryota; Viridiplantae; Streptophyta; Magnoliopsida; Malpighiales; Euphorbiaceae
Source: RNAcentral